This 449-nucleotide ribosomal RNA is filed under the name uncultured bacterium. Its description in RNAcentral is "bacterial SSU rRNA". It matches the Rfam family "Bacterial small subunit ribosomal RNA", at positions 329 to 794 of the family's 1533-position model. The record is from RNAcentral.
GACCAGACUCCUACGGGAGGCAGCAGUGGGGGAUAUUGCACAAUGGGGGGAACCCUGAUGCAGCGACGCCGCGUGAGUGAAGAAGUAUUUCGGUAUGUAAAGCUCUAUCAGCAGGGAAGAAGAAAGACGGUACCUGAGUAAGAAGCCCCGGCUAACUACGUGCCAGCAGCCGCGGUAAUACGUAGGGGGCAAGCGUUAUCCGGAUUUACUGGGUGUAAAGGGAGCGUAGACGGUAUGGCAAGUCUGAAGUGAAAGCCCCGGGCUCAACCUGGGAAUUGCUUUGGAAACUGUGCAGCUGGAGUGCAGGAGAGGUAAGCGGAAUUCCUAGUGUAGCGGUGAAAUGCGUAGAUAUUAGGAGGAACACCAGUGGCGAAGGCGGCUUACUGGACUGUAACUGACGUUGAGGCUCGAAAGCGUGGGGAGCAAACAGGAUUAGAUACCCUGGUAAC